Molecule: ribosomal RNA, 484 nt
Filed under: uncultured bacterium
Lineage: Bacteria
Description: partial 16S ribosomal RNA
Rfam family: Bacterial small subunit ribosomal RNA
Source: RNAcentral
AUUGAACGCUGGCGGCAGGCCUAACACAUGCAAGUCGAGCGGAUGAAGGGAGCUUGCUCCUGGAUUCAGCGGCGGACGGGUGAGUAAUGCCUAGGAAUCUGCCUGGUAGUGGGGGAUAACGUCCGGAAACGGGCGCUAAUACCGCAUACGUCCUGAGGGAGAAAGUGGGGGAUCUUCGGACCUCACGCUAUCAGAUGAGCCUAGGUGGGAUUAGCUAGUUGGUGGGGUAAAGGCCUACCAAGGCGACGAUCCGUAACUGGUCUGAGAGGAUGAUCAGUCACACUGGAACUGAGACACGGUCCAGACUCCUACGGGAGGCAGCAGUGGGGAAUAUUGGACAAUGGGCGAAAGCCUGAUCCAGCCAUGCCGCGUGUGUGAAGAAGGUCUUCGGAUUGUAAAGCACUUUAAGUUGGGAGGAAGGGCAGUAAGUUAAUACCUUGCUGUUUUGACGUUACCAACAGAAUAAGCACCGGCUAACUUCGUG